Mus musculus (house mouse) is the source of this 717-nucleotide long non-coding RNA. RefSeq annotates it as predicted gene, 45947. The record is from RefSeq and is a predicted model, not a curated record. The transcript has 3 exons. Lineage: Eukaryota; Metazoa; Chordata; Mammalia; Rodentia; Muridae.
CGAUUUUUUUCUUUCAAUAUAAUUGACAUUUUUAUUUGGGACUCUUAAGCCAUUUACAAUUUAUAUAUGUAUUGAUAUGAACGUACUUAUGCUUGCAAAUUGGCUGGGUUUUAUAUUUUCUUUCCUGAUCAAUUUUUCCCUAGCAUAUUUUUUAAUUAAACAGGAGUCUUUAAAUUUCUGGCUUAGUAUUUCUUAGUUAUGUGUUUACAAAGAGUCCUCAGGUUUACAAAGCACACUCAUUGCUUACCAUAGUCUGUGGAUGAAAGGAAAGAAUAACAAGUUGAUUCUCUCCUUUCACCAUGAGGGUUCUGGAAUAAGGCUCAGGUUGUCAGGCAGAGAAACAAGUGCUUUCUGGUUUUGUUUUUUGUUUUUUGUUUUCUACUGAUCCUUCCUCAUCUCCUUACUAUCAUUCACCUCAGCAUCCUUCCCAUUUUCCUUCCUCUCACUGUUUUUGUUACUGUAGUAAUUUUUCUCUCAAUAACUCACAUGGUUAAAGUAAUAAUAACGUUUUGUUGUUACUGUUUUGUCCCUUAGAUAUCUCAGAAGCUGGGCUGGAGAAAUGGCUUAGAGUAUUUGACACAAAAUAAUGAGAACCUGAGUGUAAAGAAAAUGUGCAAUAAGGUAUAUGAGAGAAGAGCUGACCCAUGACUGUGAGCAAAAAAGGCACUGAAAGAAGAAGAAAGAACCCAGUAUCCAAGAGGAUGUCCCCACCUCCAC